UCAUAUGCUUGUCUCAAAGAUUAAGCCAUGCAUGUCUAAGUACUUGCCGCAAUAAGGCGAAACCGCGAAUGGCUCAUUAAAUCAGUUACGGUUCCUUAGAUUUUGACUGUCUACAUGGAUAACUGUGGUAAUUCUAGAGCUAAUACAUGCACCAAAGCCCCGACGGGCGGCCUUCUCUCACGGGUUGGUUUAGCCUGAAUGGGCGCAUUUAUUAGGCCAAAAAGACCAAUAGUUUCGUCGGCUCUUCACGGGGUCUGACGGGACUUCCUUGGUGGUGACUCUGGAUAACUGCGCUGAUCGCAUGGCCUACGAGCCGGCGACAUAUCUUUCAAGUGUCUGCCUUAUCAACUGUCGAUGGUAGGUUAUGCGCCUACCAUGGUUGUAACGGGUAACGGGGAAUCAGGGUUCGAUUCCGGAGAGGGAGCCUGAGAAACGGCUACCACAUCCAAGGAAGGCAGCAGGCACGCAAAUUACCCACUCCCGGCACGGGGAGGUAGUGACGAAAAAUAACAAUACGGGACUCUAAUGAGGCCCCGUAAUUGGAAUGAGUACAAUUUAAAUCCUUUAACGAGGAUCUAUUGGAGGGCAAGUCUGGUGCCAGCAGCCGCGGUAAUUCCAGCUCCAAUAGCGUAUAUUAAAGUUGUUGCGGUUAAAAAGCUCGUAGUUGGAUCUCAGCCUUAGUCCGAUCUGGUCCGCCUAUCUGUGUGGUUACUGGUCGGCUGGGCAAAAAUUAUGGGGCCGUGAGCCGGCUCGUCGGCUGUAACAGGUUGGCGGGUGUCUGGUUUUCGCGGUCCCGAAAGGAGGUGAACUAACAGUGGUCUUAACCGAUCGUUGUUAGAGUUUCUCUCCCCGUUUACUUUGAAAAAAUUAGAGUGCUCAAAGCAGCCGUUACACGGCCGAAUAAUGUUGCAUGGAAUAAUGGAAUAGGAUCUCGGUUCUAUUUCUGUUGGUCUUCGGAGCCUGAGAUAAUGAUUAAGAGGGACAGACGGGGGCAUUCGUAUUGCGACGCUAGAGGUGAUAUUCUUGGACCGUCGCAAGACGAACUAAAGCGAAAGCAUUUGCCAAGAAUGUUUUCAUUAAUCAAGAACGAAAGUUAGAGGUUCGAAGGCGAUCAGAUACCGCCCUAGUUCUAACCAUAAACGAUGCCAACCAGCAAUCCGCCUGAGUUUUCUUUUAAAUGACUCGGCGGGCGGCUUCCGGGAAACCAAAGUGUUUCGGUUCCGGGGGAAGUAUGGUUGCAAAGCUGAAACUUAAAGGAAUUGACGGAAGGGCACCACCAGGACUGGAGCCUGCGGCUUAAUUUGACUCAACACGGGGAAACUCACCCGGCCCGGACACUGGAAGGAUUGACAGAUUGAGAGCUCUUUCUUGAUUCAGUGGGUGGUGGUGCAUGGCCGUUCUUAGUUGGUGGAGCGAUUUGUCUGGUUAAUUCCGAUAACGAACGAGACUCUAGCCUAUUAAAUAGAUGUGGCAGGCCAGUUAACACUUGUCCUGCCAAGACUUCUUAGAGGGACAGGCGGCGAUUCAGCCGCAUGAAAAAGAGCAAUAACAGGUCUGUGAUGCCCUUAGAUGUCCGGGGCUGCACGCGCGCUACACUGAAAAGAUCAGCGUGCACAGAAAAGCCUGGUCCGACAGGACUGGGUAACCCAAUGAACCUUUUUCGUGAUUGGGAUUGGAGAUUGUAAUUAUUGUCCAUGAACGAGGAAUUCCCAGUAAGCGCGAGUCAUCAGCUCGCGUUGAUUACGUCCCUGCCCUUUGUACACACCGCCCGUCGCUACUACCGAUUGAAUGAUUUAGUGAGGUCUUCGGAUUGGCCAGUUUUCUCGGUUUCGGCCGGGAGAAUGGCGCUGAAAAGAUGCCCAAACUUGAUUAUUUAGAGGAAGUAAAAGUCGUAACAAGGUUUCCGU
RNAcentral lists this ribosomal RNA (1907 nucleotides) under Alycus aff. roseus AD1092. RNAcentral's name for it is "SSU rRNA". It matches the Rfam family "Eukaryotic small subunit ribosomal RNA". Lineage: Eukaryota; Metazoa; Arthropoda; Arachnida; Sarcoptiformes; Alycidae. The record is from RNAcentral.